This 360-nucleotide long non-coding RNA is filed under the name Gallus gallus (chicken). The record is from RNAcentral. Lineage: Eukaryota; Metazoa; Chordata; Aves; Galliformes; Phasianidae.
GGCGAUGCGAGAGGGCCUUCCCAGAGCACCCGGGCAUCUCUGUGUGUCUCCAGGGAAGUGGGAUUCUUGUGGGGGGCUGCCAGUGCCUGCUCCCAGAGCCGCAGCGUAUGUCUUCCUCUCCUCCCUUUGAGGCAGGGGCUGCAGCCACUCAGAUCCCACUGGUCAGGUCCGUGAUGACUCGGGCUUUCACCAGCUUCCGCAGGAACUCCUUCUCCCGUUGGAUGUUGUGCGUCCAGGACUCUUUGAUGGCAGACAUCUUGAUGUUCUCAUAGUAGUGCAGUGGCGCAUUGGGUGAACUCAUGUCAUAGCCAAACCCAGCGACCGCCACCUCAUCACAGUUGUGGAGUGCCAUGGUUAUUG